CGCAAUGGGCGAAAGCCUGACGGAGCAAUACCGCGUGAGGGAUGACUGCCUAUGGGUUGUAAACCUCUUUUUUCAGGGAGGAAUAAAUGACGUGUACCUGAAGAAUAAGCAUCGGCUAACUCCGUGCCAGCAGCCGCGGUAAGACGGAGGAUGCAAGUGUUAUCCGGAAUCACUGGGCUUAAAGCGUCAGUAGGUGGCUCGACAAGUCAACUGUCAAAUCUUGAAGUUCAACUUCAAAAUCGCAGUGGCAACGAUCGGACUAGAGUAUAGUAGAGGUAAAGGGAAUUUCCAGUGGAGCGGUGAAAUGCGUAGCGAUUGGAAAGAACACCGAUGGCGAAGGCACUUUACUGGGCUAUUACUGACACUCAGAGACGAAAGCUA
RNAcentral lists this ribosomal RNA (381 nucleotides) under uncultured organism. RNAcentral describes it as "bacterial SSU rRNA". It matches the Rfam family "Bacterial small subunit ribosomal RNA", at positions 367 to 762 of the family's 1533-position model. The record is from RNAcentral.